RNAcentral lists this non-coding RNA (116 nucleotides) under Ricinus communis (castor bean). RNAcentral describes it as "Bacterial large subunit ribosomal RNA". It matches the Rfam family "Bacterial large subunit ribosomal RNA", at positions 1070 to 1185 of the family's 2925-position model. Lineage: Eukaryota; Viridiplantae; Streptophyta; Magnoliopsida; Malpighiales; Euphorbiaceae. The record is from Rfam by way of RNAcentral.
AAAUCAUCAUCGAGCGAUGACAACCAGUAGGUGGACUUGGAAGUAACCAUCCUUUGAAAAAAGCAUAAUAGCCUACUGGUCUAGCUCCAUGGCACCAAAAAUAUGUCAGGGCUUAA